Long non-coding RNA from Harpia harpyja (harpy eagle), 3132 nucleotides. RefSeq lists it as uncharacterized. NCBI's taxonomy places the organism in Eukaryota, Metazoa, Chordata, Aves, Accipitriformes, Accipitridae. The transcript has 3 exons. The record is from RefSeq and is a predicted model, not a curated record.
GCUGGUUCGUCUGCUGGUGCCGCCCGGGGCCUGGGCCCGGGCCUGGGCCCGGGCCCUGGCCGGCGGUGGGCAGGGUGGAAAUCGGCCAGCCCGUAGCUGCGGCUGGAGAUGGAUUAGCCUGAUCCUAGAUGAGAACCGAGAAAGAUGCAGCUCUUGGCUGCAGGGAGAGACGUGUCUUCCCUUUAGAUCCAGCCCCUCUGGAACCAAUGACUGCCACCAACAGCUACCGCUGGAAGAUCCUGCUAGACCAUGGCAUGGCCUUCCCCAGGCUGUGAUUGAAGAUUUCACUGCCAAAAAAUCAGCAAGACAAACUCUGAAUAUAAUUCAGAGUAGAAGAUGACACCUAUGUUAUUAGACCUGACAGCAAUGUGACAAGAAAGCAGAUAACAAGAAAGAUUCACUAUGGGCAACAAAAUCGUAUAAACUUGUUUGGUUUGUCUCUUUGUAUUUGAAUACGUUUGCAACAAUUCAACAUCAGCUCCUCCAAAAAUGCAGAUAUUUGUGUUCUCAACUUGUUGUCAAACAAAAUGACAUCAACCAGCAACCCAUACUUCAGCAGUGUUGCUUCUGUAACAACAGUAAUAAAUGCUGUUGAUGGGCAAUAACCCAGUGUCACAACAGCAUCCCAGUCGUAAAUAGACAUGAUACCAAAGAGUACUCCCAUUACUCCCCCUUUGUGUACCUAGAUAGAUCUUUUCUGCCCAGUUUGAGAAACACUUCUCCAUAAAGUGCUUUUGUGAAAAAAAGCAAACUGGAAGGUUGAAAGAGAAACACAGAGAUGCAGGUCCCAGUGCUUGGCCCAUUAAAGGAGGUACUGAGUAAGUUUCCUGUAGAGUUUGGAAAGGCCCUCUAUAGAACUAAAUAAAUUUUGGUUUGCCCUCCUAAGAGAGCUUUGGGAAGCUGUCUUGUAAAGCAGAAGGGUAUGGGCAGGUAUGUCGAACAGCUGUUUGAAGGGCAAAUCUAGAAAACAUUCCUGUCCAGGACAAUUCCCAGGAACAUGUUUAACUUUAAUCAUGCAGUGUAAAUCAAUCCUGUACUUCCCACCUGUUGAGGAUGGAGCAUUUGUGCCUUUCCAUUGCAGUGAUUGUACCCUUCCAGUGCAGUAACUCGCUGCUACUUUGUCUCCCUUAUCUUCAGCUAAAGCUCCCUGAACUCGCUUAUGUCAAAUGGAGAGCCAGUUCAGAAAACUGUAUAAGCACAACAUGUCCUUUUUUAUUCUGAAGCACUUUGCUGAAGUUACAGAUGUCUUUUUAACCUGAACAUAUGCUUCACUACAUAGCUUCACGGCUUCAGAACAGCUAUGGUACGACUACAGGCUGUCUCCUGAGGUAAAUAAGCACCCACCUGCUAAGCUAGAAAAAAAAGAAGAAAACCAUUCACAUUUUAUAUUCCACAUGGUGAUGCACUGUCCUUAUGGAAAAAGGUGAGUGGCAAUGUGUCACAGCUUGCCAACUUCCAAUACAUUUCUGAAUGCUGUGUCUCAUCGGUAGACUUGAAUUUCCGAAGUAAGGAGUGUUAAGUUUCAGUGAAAGACUUGAACUGUUCUAUUAAUGACCUAAUGGGUGAAGUAGGAUUCAGUGUUUUUUACUCAAACAAUCCCAGACUUGAAAUAUUUGAACUCCGUCUCAUUUCUGCUUGUCUGUUUUCCUGAUAGAUAUUCACAUGGAUCCAAUCAUCGGAUAAAUUUCUGAAUCAGCAGAAAACAUCUGAACUCCUUCCAAAAAUACAAAAUAGAGGUCAUUAAAAUUAGGUAUUUGAAUCCAUUAUAUCUCAGUACAGUGCCAUAGCUUUAAAAGGUGCUAAGUACAAUGGGAGCUUUGCCUCAUGAUCUUGUUAUCAUCCCUGGACACCAGAACUUGAAUAUUUAGAUAUCUCAGUGCAUUUGAAAUUGUUAGUUUCUGUCCUUUUAGAGUGAGAAGAAAAAGAAACCUAGACAAAGUUUUCUUGAGGAAUAGGUCUCAUUUAAAACUCAUAACUUUAAAACAAUUAUACUCAUUUUUCCAGGCUUGGCAUUUCUUAGAUCACAACAAAAUAAAAAAAAAACCACCCCAAAACAAACUAGGUGUGAUAUUUCUGUCCUCUGCCAUUAUUGAAAUAUUCAGGCAUAAAAUAUAAUACUGAAACAUCUGGAAAAGGUUAUGUAAUUAAUCCACACAUAACUUAGAAAUGUUUGGAAUUAUAUUACUCAAAUUUUUAUACAAAAAAUAUUAGGCAAAACUAGAAAAGUUUCAGUCCAAAAGAAGUAAUUUGUAAAGUUAUGAAUAUAUCAGCACAGACUUGGAAAAAUGUAUUAGAAUUGUAGAUUAAAUUCUACUUUGAUUAUACUGGAUAAUAGCUGUUUCUGUGAUAAUAAAUACUAAUUAUAAAAGCACAUUACAGUUUUUAACCUGAUUGCUAUCCCCCAUUUCCUUUCUCUUCCCCUUAUGACUCCUUCAUGCAGAUCGCAGCUUUCUGUGUUUUGGAGCAAGCGUAAGCUACUCCCAUAUGUUGGAGGAAGAGGUACAUAAAGGAACUGGUCCUUUAAUUUAUAAAUAUGUGUUUAUCCUAAUAAAUAGAGUGCCAACAUUUCUCCCCAGACUAAAUCUAGUGUAAAAAAUUCAAAUACAAACUGGAGCAUAAGAGCACAAACCAGAAAUCUCAUUAUUUUGAAAGGGAUACAAAGAUACGUUAAUGUCAGUAUAAACAAAGAGAUUAAAACAAAUAAAUGAGCGAAAACAAAACUGAAGCAAUGAUGUACUACAUGAUGUGAAUAAAUAUAUACUUUUAAUUAUUUAUUUUGUGAAGAAUGAAAUGGUGUGGGGACUGUGGUACCUACAAGAACAGUAGAGUAAUUCAAAAGCAGAAAUGUUAGUAUUUUCUCUAUGCUACUUUUUUAAGCAUCACAUCUAGAUCUUUAGAUGCAGUGAAUUUCUUCCACUUCCCCUAAGGAUGGGUGAAGGAUACUGGAUUCCUCAGACUCAGAUAGAAUGUUAAAACCGUGGAUAUUGAGGAUCUCCCAAGGGACUCCUUCAGUUAUAUUAGUAUUAGAGAUGGGAAACAUUUUUCAUGAACAGCACUUCAGAAAAAUGCCAUGCCUUUAUAAUUAUGACAUACAUUUUCAUCAAAUUAUUUUGACAGUUACGGUCAGAACAA